This 204-nucleotide ribosomal RNA is filed under the name uncultured bacterium. Its description in RNAcentral is "partial 16S ribosomal RNA". It matches the Rfam family "Bacterial small subunit ribosomal RNA", at positions 1288 to 1500 of the family's 1533-position model. The record is from RNAcentral.
UCAUUCGGAUCGGAGUCUGCAACCCGACUCCGUGAAGCUGGAUUCGCUAGUAAUCGCGCAUCAGCCAUGGCGCGGUGAAUACGUUCCCGGGCCUUGUACACACCGCCCGUCAAGCCAUGGGAGCCGGGGGUGCUUGAAGUGCGUCGCCGCAAGGCGCGCCCUAGAGCAAAACCGGUGACUGGGGCUAAGUCGUAACAAGGUAAC